RNAcentral lists this ribosomal RNA (1160 nucleotides) under Staphylococcus aureus. Its description in RNAcentral is "partial 23S ribosomal RNA". It matches the Rfam family "Bacterial large subunit ribosomal RNA", at positions 328 to 1494 of the family's 2925-position model. Lineage: Bacteria; Bacillati; Bacillota; Bacilli; Caryophanales; Staphylococcaceae. The record is from RNAcentral.
AUUAGACGAAUCAUCUGGAAAGAUGAAUCAAAGAAGGUAAUAAUCCUGUAGUCGAAAAUGUUGUCUCUCUUGAGUGGAUCCUGAGUACGACGGAGCACGUGAAAUUCCGUCGGAAUCUGGGAGGACCAUCUCCUAAGGCUAAAUACUCUCUAGUGACCGAUAGUGAACCAGUACCGUGAGGGAAAGGUGAAAAGCACCCCGGAAGGGGAGUGAAAUAGAACCUGAAACCGUGUGCUUACAAGUAGUCAGAGCCCGUUAAUGGGUGAUGGCGUGCCUUUUGUAGAAUGAACCGGCGAGUUACGAUUUGAUGCAAGGUUAAGCAGUAAAUGUGGAGCCGUAGCGAAAGCGAGUCUGAAUAGGGCGUUUAGUAUUUGGUCGUAGACCCGAAACCAGGUGAUCUACCCUUGGUCAGGUUGAAGUUCAGGUAACACUGAAUGGAGGACCGAACCGACUUACGUUGAAAAGUGAGCGGAUGAACUGAGGGUAGCGGAGAAAUUCCAAUCGAACCUGGAGAUAGCUGGUUCUCUCCGAAAUAGCUUUAGGGCUAGCCUCAAGUGAUGAUUAUUGGAGGUAGAGCACUGUUUGGACGAGGGGCCCCUCUCGGGUUACCGAAUUCAGACAAACUCCGAAUGCCAAUUAAUUUAACUUGGGAGUCAGAACAUGGGUGAUAAGGUCCGUGUUCGAAAGGGAAACAGCCCAGACCACCAGCUAAGGUCCCAAAAUAUAUGUUAAGUGGAAAAGGAUGUGGCGUUGCCCAGACAACUAGGAUGUUGGCUUAGAAGCAGCCAUCAUUUAAAGAGUGCGUAAUAGCUCACUAGUCGAGUGACACUGCGCCGAAAAUGUACCGGGGCUAAACAUAUUACCGAAGCUGUGGAUUGUCCUUUGGACAAUGGUAGGAGAGCGUUCUAAGGGCGUUGAAGCAUGAUCGUAAGGACAUGUGGAGCGCUUAGAAGUGAGAAUGCCGGUGUGAGUAGCGAAAGACGGGUGAGAAUCCCGUCCACCGAUUGACUAAGGUUUCCAGAGGAAGGCUCGUCCGCUCUGGGUUAGUCGGGUCCUAAGCUGAGGCCGACAGGCGUAGGCGAUGGAUAACAGGUUGAUAUUCCUGUACCACCUAUAAUCGUUUUAAUCGAUGGGGGGACGCAGUAGGAUAGGCGAAGCGU